UUAUAAAAAAAGAUAUUUCAUGGCAGGGAUCAGCCCUGUACGUAUAAAUGACUGGCACCAUAGCCUGCCAGCCGCUGGGCCAUUGCCGCUAAAUUCGGCCAACAGGUGAAGGCCGAUAGGCCUAAUCUCUGUCGGCCAUGCCUAUAAAGCAAAGUCGUUCUGCUACGCUAGCGGGGAAAAGAAUCUGCAAGAGCACACCGCCAGCAGAGAGGAGGAUCUGCAUGAGCGUUGUCAACCGGGAGAUCGCCAUCACCGUCGCCAACCCAGCGUUGUGGUCACCCAAAUCUACGGUAUGGCCCCCUCUCGAGUUCGCGCUUGCCACCGCCCUCUCUUACGCCAGUCUACGGUUGGGAGAUACGUAUUCGCCGCGGGGCAGGUGCUCCGGCAAUGGCGGCUUCCGCUUGGGUCACUCUCGCCACCGUAUUCAAUGGUUAGAGAUGGGAGAUGAUCUGGUACCCGCUCAUCGGAAAAUGAACGGCUGGGAUUCGUUGGCGCAUACCCAUUCAAUGCAUUAAAUCCUUGACGUCAACCAGCGAUCGGACGGUUUUGGAGUCACGUGAUGCUCUGACCGUGGAUCCCAGAUCCAAGGGCUGAUAGCGCAUACCGGUUCAAUGAAAGUAGCAUCUAAUCUGGGCCACCAGAUUUUGAUCAGGCGGCCAGGAAUUGAGGAUACCUCUUCGUGCUCGGCCUUUUGCAUAAGAUCCCCUCGCUAACUUCAAAAUAAACUCGCAGUCCUGUCUAUGGGAAUCCUGAGUCUCAUGAGUUUUUGCGUAAUAACCCCUAUGUCUCUCUGUUAUUUGCGCCCAGUCCGAAAGCUUAGGAAAUUCAGGAAAAUAAUUUAGAAAAGGGUUUUUGUGUAUAAAAAUAUAUCCAGAACUUAUUUAAUUCAUAGAAAUUAUAUUUUAACUUCUUUUUAGUCCGUUUCGGUUGCAAUAAUUUUGUUUUAAUAUUGUAUAUCACCUAGUACCUUUGUUUAAUCAUGAAACUUGAAUUAAAAUUUCUCAAUUAAAUUAAUCUAUUCUAGGUGCUAAAUAACUCCAGAAAUUCAUAACUUCUUCGUUCUGAUUCCGAUUUGAUCCGUUCAAGUUGCGCUAGAUUCAUAUGAAUAUUUAUUAUGCAGUAACAAUAUUAAUUAUACCAUAUUGCAUAAUUUUAUAAUUAGAUAUUUAUUUAUCCUAUGUGUGCUAGAUUAGCUCUUCUAAAUCAAAACUAACCUGAUCAUAAUUAUAAUGUGGUUAAAACAUGAUCUCUAGUCAAGUAUAGCCUAGAUUAAAGUUGAAUUGAUUAUUUUGAGUAUAUUUUCUCAUAUGAUGUAUAAUAAUCAAUUUAUAAUAUAAUUUGAUAUUCAACCACAUAGAUUUUCCGUGAAUCGUAACUCGGUAACCGUAACUCCGAUUUUAGCGUCGCGUAGAUUAUUAUUACGUAGUUUAUUGUUAUGUUUGGUGUGAUGUUAAUUUUGUCUAUACAUGUUUGUCUGUAUUGCUACGUUUAGCGAUGAGGACAUGCGUCAUCUGAAGAGCAAGUUGGUACCUGGAAUCUCAAGUCCCAGGCAAGUUGUGCCCUGAUCACUUCUUUUACCCACUCAUGUUCUAAUUAAUCAUAAUGAUCUGCAUAGGUUAAUUUUGAUGGGACCUAAUAGGUUACCCUAGUUUGUCUAUCUUUAUGCCUUGUUUACCACUGAACUUUUUGGGUAGUACUUGCUAGUGCUAUAUGUGGUUUUGGGCAUUGAGAUACACAUUACUCAUGAUUAUACUUUUGUUAUCAGUUGUUAUUUACUGGUCAUGAUAAGAUCAGUAUGUUAAUUGGAACAUGGAGCGACCACCCGGGAAAACAGUGCUACCACAAGGGUUUAAUGGGAUGCCCUUGGCUAAUUAAUUAGGAAAGCUAGUGGAAGACUACCUCACCUGAAAGGGGCAAGGGUAGUAGGGGAGUGGUCAGUGUGGGGAGGUCCUUGGUUGAUUUUGCUGCGAUGGCGGUCAGGCGAGGGAUCCCUGCAUUGGAGCUUCCUAUAAACUGUAGCGGGUUUUCUGAAGCUAGUGGAACUUUGUAAAGGCCUCGUAGUGUCACUCUGCCUCGCUUCCUUGGUAGAGGUGUAUGGGGCCCGUACAACCCAUGAAAAAUGGGUAACAUGACUUGUGGGUAAAGAUGUGCAACCUCUGCAGAGUGUAAAACUGGUAUACUAGCCGUGCUCACGGUCAUGAGCAGCUCGGACCCUCACAUGAUUAACUUAUGGAACUAAAUUCAAUUUGUCAUAUGCAUUGCAUCGCAGGUGAUGUUAUUACUUUUGUUCUACUACUUAAUUGGGUUGGUAUUUACUUAUACUUAGUAAUUGCUAAUAAAAUUUUGACCAACUUUAAAAGCAAUGCUCAGCUCUAACCAUCCUCUUUGGUAAGCCUUACACUUCACGUGAGCUCCCACCUUUGGCGAGUUCAUGCAGAUUAUUCCCCACAACUUGUUGAGCGAUGAACGAAUGUGAGCUCACUCUUGCUGUCUCACACCCCCCACACAUGUCAAGAACAGGUACCAUAGGAUGAGGCACAUGGAGGAUGCUGUGAUGAGUUCGUGAGUGGUCUUGGUCGUCGUCUCCCAGUCAACUUUGGGUUGCUGGACCAUUGUCUCCUUAUAAUGUAUUUAUUUAUUUAUUUUGUACAAGAACUUUUGUUAUGUAGUAAAGAUGUGAC
This 2681-nucleotide long non-coding RNA is filed under the name Zea mays. Its description in RNAcentral is "long non-coding RNA (ZMAY_LNC002651)". Lineage: Eukaryota; Viridiplantae; Streptophyta; Magnoliopsida; Poales; Poaceae. The record is from RNAcentral.